GAUGAACGCUGGCGGCGGGCCUAAUACAUGCAAGUCGAACGAACAGACGAGGAGGUUGCUCCUUUGACGUUAGCGGCGCGGGGGGGUGAAAAAUGUGUGGAAUACACCUAGAUGAAGGGGAAAAACUCGAGAAAACGGCGGUUAUAGCGGAUUAGAUACUGAAGCGCAUGGUGGGAUAGUGAAGGACGGUUUUGCUGGGAAUGAUCGCUGGUUCCGCGCCGCAUUAGCUGGGUGGUACGGUAACGGCUUACCAAGGCGACGAUGCGUAGCCGAGCUGAGAGGAUGAUCGGCCACACUGGAACUGGGACACGGUCCAGACUCCUACGGGAGGCAGCAGUAGGGAAUCUUACGCAAUGGGCGAAAGCUUGACGCAGCCACGCCGCGUGUGUGAUGAAGGUCUUCGGAUCGUAAAGCACUGUUAUGGGGGAAGAACAGAUUUAUAAUUAAACCUGCACUUAUUGACGUUACCCGGUCAAGAAGCACCGGCUAACUACGUG
This 497-nucleotide ribosomal RNA is filed under the name uncultured bacterium. Its description in RNAcentral is "partial 16S ribosomal RNA". It matches the Rfam family "Bacterial small subunit ribosomal RNA", at positions 28 to 507 of the family's 1533-position model. The record is from RNAcentral.